UACGUAGGGUGCGAGCGUUGUCCGGAAUUACUGGGCGUAAAGAGCUCGUAGGUGGUUUGUCGCGUUGUUCGUGAAAACUCACAGCUUAACUGUGGGCGUGCGGGCGAUACGGGCAGACUAGAGUACUGCAGGGGAGACUGGAAUUCCUGGUGUAGCGGUGGAAUGCGCAGAUAUCAGGAGGAACACCGGUGGCGAAGGCGGGUCUCUGGGCAGUAACUGACGCUGAGGAGCGAAAGCGUGGGGAGCGAACAGG
This 253-nucleotide ribosomal RNA is filed under the name uncultured bacterium. RNAcentral's name for it is "partial 16S ribosomal RNA". It matches the Rfam family "Bacterial small subunit ribosomal RNA", at positions 524 to 776 of the family's 1533-position model. RNAcentral also lists the same sequence under 1 other name. The record is from RNAcentral.